Molecule: ribosomal RNA, 345 nt
Filed under: uncultured bacterium
Lineage: Bacteria
Description: bacterial SSU rRNA
Rfam family: Bacterial small subunit ribosomal RNA
Source: RNAcentral
AGAGUUUGAUCAUGGCUCAGAUUGAACGCUGGCGGCAUGCUUUACACAUGCAAGUCGAACGGCAGCACAGGGAGCUUGCUCCCGGGUGGCGAGUGGCGCACGGGUGAGUAAUACAUCGGAACGUGUCCUGUUGUGGGGGAUAACUGCUCAAAAGGGUGGCUAAUACCGCAUGAGACCUGAGGGUGAAAGCGGGGAUCGCAAGACCUCGCGCAAUUGGAGCGGCCGAUGCCCGAUUAGCUAGUUGGUGAGGUAAAGGCUCACCAAGGCGACGAUCGGUAGCUGGUCUGAGAGGACGACCAGCCACACUGGGACUGAGACACGGCCCAGAAUCCCGUACGGGAGGCA